GACGAACGCUGGCGGCGUGCUUAACACAUGCAAGUCGAACGGAAAGGCCCUGCUUUUGUGGGGUGCUCGAGUGGCGAACGGGUGAGUAACACGUGAGUAACCUGCCCUUGACUUUGGGAUAACUUCAGGAAACUGGGGCUAAUACCGGAUAGGAGCUCCUGCUGCAUGGUGGGGGUUGGAAAGUUUCGGCGGUUGGGGAUGGACUCGCGGCUUAUCAGCUUGUUGGUGGGGUGGUGGCUUACCAAGGCUUUGACGGGUAGCCGGCCUGAGAGGGUGACCGGCCACAUUGGGACUGAGAUACGGCCCAGACUCCUACGGGAGGCAGCAGUGGGGAAUAUUGCACAAUGAGCGGAGGCCUGAUGAAGCAACGCCGCGUGCGGGAUGACGGCCUUCGGGUUGUAAACCGCUUUCGCCUGUGACGAAGAGUGAGUGACGGUAAUGGGUAAAGAAGCACCGGCUAACUACGUG
This 468-nucleotide ribosomal RNA is filed under the name uncultured bacterium. Its description in RNAcentral is "partial 16S ribosomal RNA". It matches the Rfam family "Bacterial small subunit ribosomal RNA", at positions 28 to 507 of the family's 1533-position model. The record is from RNAcentral.